UACAGAGGUCCCAAGCGUUGUUCGGAUUCAUUGGGCGUAAAGGGUGCGUAGGCGGCGCGGGAAGUCGGGUGUGAAAUCCCUCGGCUUAACCGGGGAACUGCGUCUGAUACUGGAUGGCUAGAGGUUGGGAGAGGGAUGCGGAAUUCCAGGUGUAGCGGUGAAAUGCGUAGAUAUCUGGAGGAACACCGGUGGCGAAGGCGGCAUCCUGGACCAAUUCUGACGCUGAGGAGCGAAAGCCAGGGGAGCAAACGGG
Molecule: ribosomal RNA, 253 nt
Filed under: uncultured bacterium
Lineage: Bacteria
Description: partial 16S ribosomal RNA
Rfam family: Bacterial small subunit ribosomal RNA
Source: RNAcentral